CCACGGGGGGCUCCAGUGGGGAAUAUUGCACAAUGGGCGCAAGCCUGAUGCAGCCAUGCCGCGUGUAUGAAGAAGGCCUUCGGGUUGUAAAGUACUUUCAGCGGGGAGGAAGGGAGUAAAGUUAAUACCUUUGCUCAUUGACGUUACCCGCAGAAGAAGCACCGGCUAACUCCGUGCCAGCAGCCGCGGUAAUACGGAGGGUGGCAAGCGUUAAUCGGAAUUACUGGGCGUAAAGCGCACGCAGGCGGUUUGUUAAGUCAGAUGUGAAAUCCCCGGGCUCAACCUGGGAACUGCAUCUGAUACUGGCAAGCUUGAGUCUCGUAGAGGGGGGUAGAAUUCCAGGUGUAGCGGUGAAAUGCGUAGAGAUCUGGAGGAAUACCGGUGGCGAAGGCGGCCCCCUGGACGAAGACUGACGCUCAGGUGCGAAAGCGUGGGGAGCAAACAGGAUUAGAUACCCGAGUAGUC
This 465-nucleotide ribosomal RNA is filed under the name uncultured bacterium. RNAcentral's name for it is "partial 16S ribosomal RNA". It matches the Rfam family "Bacterial small subunit ribosomal RNA", at positions 339 to 795 of the family's 1533-position model. The record is from RNAcentral.